RNAcentral lists this ribosomal RNA (377 nucleotides) under uncultured eukaryote. RNAcentral describes it as "partial 18S ribosomal RNA". It matches the Rfam family "Eukaryotic small subunit ribosomal RNA", at positions 592 to 975 of the family's 1831-position model. The record is from RNAcentral.
CAAUAGCGUAUAUUAAAGUUGUUGCAGUUAAAAAGCUCGUAGUUGAAACUUGGGCCUGGCUGGCGGGUCCGCCUCACCGCGUGCACUCGUCCGGCCGGGCCUUCCUUCUGAAGAACCUCAUGCCCUUCACUGGGCGUGCUGGGGAAUCAGGACUUUUACUUUGAAAAAAUUAGAGUGUUCAAAGCAGGCCUUUGCUCGAAUACGUUAGCAUGGAAUAAUAAAAUAGGACGUGCGGUUCUAUUUUGUUGGUUUUUGGAAUCGCCGUAAUGAUUAAUAGGGACAGUCGGGGGCAUUAGUACUCACAUGCUAGAGGUGAAAUUCUUGGAUUUUGUGAAGACUAACUUCUGCGAAAGCAUUUGACAAGGAUGUUUNCAUUA